GACGAACGCUGGCGGCGUGCUUAACACAUGCAAGUCGAGCGGUAAGGCCCUUUCGGGGGUACACGAGCGGCGAACGGGUGAGUAACACGUGGGUGACCUGCCCUCAGCUCUGGGAUAAGCCUGGGAAACCGGGUCUAAUACUGGAUAUGACUCCAUGACGCAUGUUGUGGGGUGGAAAGCCUUGUGCGGCUGAGGAUGGGCCCGCGGCCUAUCAGCUUGUUGGUGGGGUGANGGCCUACCAAGGCGACGACGGGUAGCCGGCCUGAGAGGGCGACCGGCCACACUGGGACUGAGACACGGCCCAGACUCCUACGGGAGGCAGCAGUGGGGAAUCUUGCGCAAUGGGCGAAAGCCUGAUGCAGCGACGCCGCGUGAGGGAUGACGGCCU
Molecule: ribosomal RNA, 388 nt
Filed under: uncultured bacterium
Lineage: Bacteria
Description: bacterial SSU rRNA
Rfam family: Bacterial small subunit ribosomal RNA
Source: RNAcentral